GUGGGUGUAGGACAGUCUGGUAGUCCGCUUGCUUUGGGAGCAAGAAGUCGCUGGUUCGAAUCCAGUCACCCGCACCA
This 77-nucleotide transfer RNA is filed under the name bacterium. RNAcentral describes it as "tRNA-Pro". It matches the Rfam family "tRNA". From Rfam's summary of the family: Transfer RNA (tRNA) molecules are approximately 80 nucleotides in length. Their secondary structure includes four short double-helical elements and three loops (D, anti-codon, and T loops). Further hydrogen bonds mediate the characteristic L-shaped molecular structure. tRNAs have two regions of fundamental functional importance: the anti-codon, which is responsible for specific mRNA codon recognition, and the 3' end, to which the tRNAs corresponding amino acid is attached (by aminoacyl-tRNA synthetases). tRNAs cope with the degeneracy of the genetic code in two manners: having more than one tRNA (with a specific anti-codon) for a particular amino acid; and 'wobble' base-pairing, i.e. permitting non-standard base-pairing at the 3rd anti-codon position. The record is from RNAcentral.